CUUGAGUUUGAUUCCCGCUCAGGACGAACGCUGGCGGCGUGCUUAACACAUGCAAGUCGAGCGGUAAGGCCUUUCGGGGUACACGAGCGGCGAACGGGUGAGUAACACGUGGGUGAUCUGCCCUGCACUUCGGGAUAAGCCUGGGAAACUGGGUCUAAUACCGGAUAUGACCUCAGGUUGCAUGACUUGGGGUGGAAAGAUUUAUCGGUGCAGGAUGGGCCCGCGGCCUAUCAGCUUGUUGGUGGGGUAAUGGCCUACCAAGGCGACGACGGGUAGCCGACCUGAGAGGGUGACCGGCCACACUGGGACUGAGACACGGCCCAGACUCCUACGGGAGGCAGCAGUGGGGAAUAUUGCACAAUGGGCGAAAGCCUGAUGCAGCGACGCCGCGUGAGGGAUGACGGCCUUCGGGUUGUAAACCUCUUUCAGCAGGGACGAAGCGCAAGUGACGGUACCUGCAGAAGAAGCACCGGCUAACUACGUGCCAGCAGCCGCGGUAAUACGUAGGGUGCAAGCGUUGUCCGGAAUUACUGGGCGUAAAGAGUUCGUAGGCGGUUUGUCGCGUCGUUUGUGAAAACCAGCAGCUCAACUGCUGGCUUGCAGGCGAUACGGGCAGACUUGAGUACUGCAGGGGAGACUGGAAUUCCUGGUGUAGCGGUGAAAUGCGCAGAUAUCAGGAGGAACACCGGUGGCGAAGGCGGGUCUCUGGGCAGUAACUGACGCUGAGGAACGAAAGCGUGGGUAGCGAACAGGAUUAGAUACCCUGGUAGUCCACGCCGUAAACGGUGGGCGCUAGGUGUGGGUUCCUUCCACGGAAUCCGUGCCGUAGCUAACGCAUUAAGCGCCCCGCCUGGGGAGUACGGCCGCAAGGCUAAACUCAAAGGAUUGA
Molecule: ribosomal RNA, 889 nt
Filed under: Rhodococcus sp. SA9
Lineage: Bacteria; Bacillati; Actinomycetota; Actinomycetes; Mycobacteriales; Nocardiaceae
Description: bacterial SSU rRNA
Rfam family: Bacterial small subunit ribosomal RNA
Source: RNAcentral